AGAGUCCUGAUGUGACCGUAAGUUUGCUAACGUUUUGACCGAACAUUUUUGCCUUAGGGAGUCUGAAGUUUCUAAGUGGCGCAAAUGCCUCGUAACAGUGGACUUGUAAAGCUUAGAACAGGACACCCACCUGCUGAGAGCGGGUUCAAAACAGGCAUCCAAACGACGGCACGAUUGGGACAUCU
This 185-nucleotide non-coding RNA is filed under the name Bacillus sp. (in: firmicutes). RNAcentral describes it as "Bacillus sp. (in: Bacteria) 6S RNA". It matches the Rfam family "6S / SsrS RNA". Rfam says of the family: E. coli 6S RNA was the first non coding RNA to be sequenced, but its function was unknown until recently. It consists of 184 nucleotides that fold into an extended hairpin structure with a large single-stranded internal bulge. Lineage: Bacteria; Bacillati; Bacillota; Bacilli; Caryophanales; Bacillaceae. RNAcentral also lists the same sequence under 5 other names. The record is from RNAcentral.